UACGUAGGGUGCGAGCGUUUGUCCGGAAUUAUUGGGCGUAAAGGGCUCGUAGGCGGUUUGUCGCGUCGGGAGUGAAAACACACAGCUUAACUGUGUGCUUGCUUCCGAUACGGGCAGACUAGAGGUAUGCAGGGGAGAACGGAAUUCCUGGUGUAGCGGUGAAAUGCGCAGAUAUCAGGAGGAACACCGGUGGCGAAGGCGGUUCUCUGGGCAUUACCUGACGCUGAGGAGCGAAAGUGUGGGGAGCGAACAGG
Molecule: ribosomal RNA, 254 nt
Filed under: uncultured bacterium
Lineage: Bacteria
Description: partial 16S ribosomal RNA
Rfam family: Bacterial small subunit ribosomal RNA
Source: RNAcentral